This 510-nucleotide ribosomal RNA is filed under the name uncultured bacterium. RNAcentral describes it as "partial 16S ribosomal RNA". It matches the Rfam family "Bacterial small subunit ribosomal RNA", at positions 28 to 507 of the family's 1533-position model. The record is from RNAcentral.
GACGAACGCUGGCGGCGUGCUUAACACAUGCAAGCCGAACGAAGAGCGAUGGAAGCUUGCUUCUAUCAAUCUUAGUGGCGAACGGGUGAGUAACGCGUAAUCAACCUGCCCUUCAGAGGGGGACAACAGUUGGAAACGACUGCUAAUACCGCAUACGAUCUAAUCUCGGCAUCGAGGAUAGAUGAAAGGUGGCCUCUACAUGUAAGCUAUCACUGAAGGAGGGGAUUGCGUCUGAUUAGCUAGUUGGAGGGGUAACGGCCCACCAAGGCGAUGAUCAGUAGCCGGUCUGAGAGGAUGAACGGCCACAUUGGGACUGAGACACGGCCCAGACUCCUACGGGAGGCAGCAGUGGGGAAUCUUCCGCAAUGGACGAAAGUCUGACGGAGCAACGCCGCGUGAGUGAUGACGGCCUUCGGGUUGUAAAGCUCUGUUAAUCGGGACGAAAGGCCUUCUUGCGAAUAGGGAGAAGGAUUGACGGUACCGGAAUAGAAAGCCACGGCUAACUACGUG